This 400-nucleotide ribosomal RNA is filed under the name uncultured bacterium. RNAcentral describes it as "bacterial SSU rRNA". It matches the Rfam family "Bacterial small subunit ribosomal RNA", at positions 355 to 747 of the family's 1533-position model. The record is from RNAcentral.
UGGGGAAUCUUCCGCAAUGGGCGAAAGCCUGACGGAGCAACGCCGCGUGAGUGAUGACGGCCUUCGGGUUGUAAAGCUCUGUUAUAUGGGACGAACGGGCAUGGGGCGAAUACCCUCAUGCAGUGACGGUACCGUAAGAGAAAGCCACGGCUAACUACGUGCCAGCAGCCGCGGUAAUACGUAGGUGGCAAGCGUUGUCCGGAAUUAUUGGGCGUAAAGGGCGUGUAGGCGGCCAGACAAGUCUGUCUUAAAAGUGCGGGGCUCAACCCCGUGAUGGGAUGGAAACUGUCGGGCUAGAGUGUCGGAGAGGAAAGCGGAAUUCCUAGUGUAGCGGUGAAAUGCGUAGAUAUUAGGAGGAACACCAGUGGCGAAAGCGGCUUUCUGGACGACAACUGACGCU